UAAUUAUUGCCAAUAGUGACGUUUGCGC
Molecule: small RNA, 28 nt
Filed under: Bombyx mori (domestic silkworm)
Lineage: Eukaryota; Metazoa; Arthropoda; Insecta; Lepidoptera; Bombycidae
Description: ovarian small RNA-19885
Source: RNAcentral